Molecule: long non-coding RNA, 89 nt
Organism: Myotis davidii
Lineage: Eukaryota; Metazoa; Chordata; Mammalia; Chiroptera; Vespertilionidae
Exons: 3
Source: RefSeq, a predicted model, not a curated record
AAGUAAUUUCAACAGAGACCAUAAGGCCCGUAAAGCCUACAAUGUUUACUAUUUGGCCCUUUACAGAAAAAAAAAUUUAAUGAACUAAG